This 497-nucleotide ribosomal RNA is filed under the name uncultured bacterium. Its description in RNAcentral is "partial 16S ribosomal RNA". It matches the Rfam family "Bacterial small subunit ribosomal RNA", at positions 28 to 507 of the family's 1533-position model. The record is from RNAcentral.
GAUGAACGCUGGCGGCGUGCCUAAUACAUGCAAGUCGAGCGAACGGACGAGAAGCUUGCUUCUCUGAUGUUAGCGGCGGACGGGUGAGUAACACGUGGAUAACCUACCUAUAAGACUGGGAUAACUUCGGGAAACCGGAGCUAAUACCGGAUAAUAUUUUGAACCGCAUGGUUCAAAAGUGAAAGACGGUCUUGCUGUCACUUGUAGAUGUAUCCGCGCUGCAUUAGCUAGUUGGUAAGGUAACGGCUUACCAAGGCAACGAUGCAUAGCCGACCUGAGAGGGUGAUCGGCCACACUGGAAGUGAGACACGGUCCAGACUCCUACGGGAGGCACCAGUAGGGAAGCUUGCGCAAUGGGCGAAAGCCUGACGGAGCAACGCCGCGUGAGUGAUGAAGGUCUUCGGAUCGUAAAACUCUGUUAUUAGGGAAGAACAUAUGUGUAAGUAACUGUGCACAUCUUGACGGUACCUAAUCAGAAAGCCACGGCUAACUACGUG